UGACCUCAAAUCAGGUAGGACUACCCGCUGAACUUAAGCAUAUCAAUAAGCGGAGGAAAAGAAACUAACAAGGAUUCCCCUAGUAACUGCGAGUGAAGCGGGAAAAGCUCAAAUUUAAAAUCUGGCAGUCUCUGACUGUCCGAGUUGUAAUCUAGAGAAGUGUUAUCCGCGCUGGACCGUGUACAAGUCUCCUGGAAUGGAGCGUCAUAGAGGGUGAGAAUCCCGUCUUUGACACGGACUGCCAGGGCUUUGUGAUAUGCUCUCAAAGAGUCGAGUUGUUUGGGAAUGCAGCUCAAAAUGGGUGGUAAAUUCCAUCUAAAGCUAAAUAUUGGCGAGAGACCGAUAGCGAACAAGUACCGUGAGGGAAAGAUGAAAAGAACUUUGGAAAGAGAGUUAAACAGUACGUGAAAUUGCUGAAAGGGAAACGCUUGAAGUCAGUCACGUUGGCCAGGGAUCAACCUUGCUUUUGCUUGGUGUACUUUCUGGUUGAUGGGUCAGCAUCAAUUUUGACCAUUGGAAAAAGGUCAAGGGAAUGUGGCAUCUUCGGAUGUGUUAUAGCCCUUGGUUGCAUACAAUGGUUGGGAUUGAGGAACUCAGCAUGCCGCAAGGCCGGGUU
This 616-nucleotide ribosomal RNA is filed under the name Cortinarius allutus. RNAcentral's name for it is "eukaryotic LSU rRNA". It matches the Rfam family "Eukaryotic large subunit ribosomal RNA", at positions 1 to 617 of the family's 3401-position model. The record is from RNAcentral. Lineage: Eukaryota; Fungi; Basidiomycota; Agaricomycetes; Agaricales; Cortinariaceae.